This is a non-coding RNA of Prunus avium (sweet cherry), 345 nucleotides long. The record is from RefSeq and is a predicted model, not a curated record. Lineage: Eukaryota; Viridiplantae; Streptophyta; Magnoliopsida; Rosales; Rosaceae.
UGAAAAAGACGAAUCCUUUUUGGCACCAUCAUAUAAAUCAUAUUUAUUUUUUUAAGCAGCCAUGACAAAGUGCUCUGACGGGGUUGAAACUUGAACCCAUUUUGAACAUUUAUAUCCUCUUCUCCUCCGCAGCUCUCCAGAGAGUGCUCAGAGAGACACAGAUGGAACCUCCACCAGCACAAGCCAUAGAGACUUCCAGCAACAAUUUUCAGGCAGGAGAAGAUGAGCAGGACAAAGUCAUCAAUGACUGUUGUUCCUGCUUUUAUGACUGCACAGAGACCUGCUUUGAUUACUUAUUCUGUAAUCUCUGUUAGAUGAGAUGGGAUUAGAUUAAGCUUAUAAGUU